UAUUGCACAAUGGGGGAAACCCUGAUGCAGCGACGCCGCGUGAAGGAAGAAGUAUCUCGGUAUGUAAACUCCUAUCAGCAGGGAAGACAAUGACGGUACCUGACUAAGAAGCUCCGGCUAACUACGUGCCAGCAGCCGCGGUAAUACGUAGGGGGCAAGCGUUAUCCGGAUUUACUGGGUGUAAAGGGAGCGUAGACGGAAGAGCAAGUCUGAUGUGAAAGGCUGGGGCGUAACCCCAGGACUGCAUUGGAAACUGUUGUUCUAGAGUGACGGGGAGGUAAGCGGAAUUCCUAGUGUAGCGGUGAAAUGCGUAGAUAUUAGGAGGAACACCAGUGGCGAAGGCGGCUUACUGGACAGUAACUGACGUUGAGGCUCGAAAGCGUGGGGAGCAAACA
This 395-nucleotide ribosomal RNA is filed under the name uncultured bacterium. Its description in RNAcentral is "bacterial SSU rRNA". It matches the Rfam family "Bacterial small subunit ribosomal RNA", at positions 362 to 774 of the family's 1533-position model. The record is from RNAcentral.